RNAcentral lists this ribosomal RNA (253 nucleotides) under uncultured bacterium. RNAcentral's name for it is "partial 16S ribosomal RNA". It matches the Rfam family "Bacterial small subunit ribosomal RNA", at positions 524 to 776 of the family's 1533-position model. The record is from RNAcentral.
UACAGAGGUCUCAAGCGUUGUUCGGAUUCAUUGGGCGUAAAGGGUGUGUAGGUGGCGCCGUAAGUCGGGUGUGAAAUUUCGGAGCUUAACUCCGAAACUGCAUUCGAUACUGCGGUGCUUGAGGACUGGAGAGGAGACUGGAAUUCAUGGUGUAGCAGUGAAAUGCGUAGAGAUCAUGAGGAAGACCAGUGGCGAAGGCGGGUCUCUGGACAGUUACUGACGCUGAGGAGCGAAAGCCAGGGGAGCAAACGGG